CCUACGGGAGGCUGCAGUGGGGGAUAUUGCACAAUGGGGGGAACCCUGAUGCAGCAAUGCCGCGUGAACGAAGAAGGCCCUAGGGUCGUAAAGUUCUGUCGUAUGGGAAGAAAGAAAUGACAGUACCAUACAAGAAAGCCCCGGCUAACUACGUGCCAGCAGCCGCGGUAAUACGUAGGGGGCAAGCGUUAUCCGGAAUUACUGGGCGUAAAGGGUGCGUAGGCGGCUUGUUAAGUCAAGGUUAAAAGGCAGCAGCUCAACUGCUGUUCGGCCUUGAAACUAAUAAGCUUGAGUAUAGGAGAGGAAAGUGGAAUUCCCAGUGUAGCGGUGAAAUGCGUAGAUAUUGGGAGGAAUACCGGUGGCGAAGGCGACUUUCUGGACUAAAACUGACGCUGAGGCACGAAAGUGUGGGUAGCAAACAGGAUUAGAUACCCUAGUAGUC
RNAcentral lists this ribosomal RNA (442 nucleotides) under uncultured Peptostreptococcaceae bacterium. Its description in RNAcentral is "bacterial SSU rRNA". It matches the Rfam family "Bacterial small subunit ribosomal RNA", at positions 338 to 795 of the family's 1533-position model. Lineage: Bacteria; Bacillati; Bacillota; Clostridia; Peptostreptococcales; Peptostreptococcaceae. The record is from RNAcentral.